Molecule: long non-coding RNA, 2337 nt
Organism: Salmo salar (Atlantic salmon)
Lineage: Eukaryota; Metazoa; Chordata; Actinopteri; Salmoniformes; Salmonidae
Source: RefSeq, a predicted model, not a curated record
UGGAUUCGGCAGCACCCUUUGGGUUUCUCUGACAACUCCCCUACCCAGUAGGGGGCGGGGUCACAUGUACCGGAUGUUGAUACAGUCUGCGGAACAGCUGUGAAAGAACAACAAAGCUGACGCGACAUCGACAUGGGUCAACGACAAAAAGAAGGGGGAAAUACAACGAAGCAGGUUUUAACAUUCGUGUCGACACAGAACUCUGAAAAUCACAGUGAGAAGAAGUUGGGUAUGCGAUGUGUCUUCGACAACAACAUACACGAUGGCUUUGUAUUAUAAGGUUAGCUAUCACACAUUAUAUACAUAAUAGAUUCAUACCAUGCGCUUGCACUGGAGUCGAACACGAUUCCUGUUUAGAUUAAGCCACUGCAGAGUCGGCUCAAGAUAUGGUUCGGAAAACGUACCACAGCCCAGAGCGUGUAGCGACAGAACCGAGGGGGGAGAAUGAAGUGGAAAGGAACGGUUCGGAAAAGAAUGACAAUGGAGCGUAAAUGAGUCUCUCUUUCCUAACGUAGUUAAGCCAAAACCACACCCCGUUAUUGAAGGGCGUUCUACUACGCUCCCAUUGGCUAGCUAGCGUUGUCUCACUCACAGGCGAUCAGCGCAGAGGCAUUCCAAUUUAAGGAUGGAAAGUGUAUUUUAACAAUUGUUAGGGUUGAACUGGCUAUUUGUAUGCAUAACUUAUAUAAUAUACUGGGGACGCUAUGCUACAAUAUUAAGUAUAUGAACUACGGAUAAAUCAACCGUUGAAGACAAGAAGAACUACAACCGGCGACAGGAAGUGCGUCACUAGGCUGAGAGCAGCCUGCACGCCAACGAUAGGAGGAGCAAGUUUAUACCACGCUCCUCCUCCCUCUGACAGGCCAGCAUUGAGCAGGAACUAUCUCUGUCAGAGUAUAAAAGCGAGAACAAUAGGAUGUGUCGUUCUCUUCUCUGUUUUGCCCUGAGAGGUAAAACAGCGAGACCGUUUAUAUACGAACCACACAUAUACCACGCACGGGUUUGCAUUAAUUAAAGUACAGCUAAAUCAGAAGUUACUAUGUGCUGACUAUUUUGUUCUGUUACCAGAAACGAACUGUCGCAGCAUUAACACAAUGCAGGCCUAUUAUUAUCAUGUUUGGUAACGUUUGCCCAUGUUUUUAUAUUCAGAGUUUGAAUGAGUUAUAAAAUGUCUCAACUCUGAAUUCCCGCAAUUGAAGGUCAGCUAAGUUUACCUAGACUACUUAAUCUUAAAGAUCCGACUGAAAUUUCGCGCUACGUGAUAUUCACUUCCGGACUUGGAGAGCGUGCGUCUUUUCCCCCAACACAGUUAAGCCAAAACCACGCCCCAUUAUUCAGAGACAUUCUGCAACGCUAUGAGCGCUCCAAGUCCGGAAGUGAAUAUCACGUAGUGUGACAUUUCAGCCACUGAUUAAUAACGUUUGCCUUUGUAUUUCAAGAUUUGAAAAAUAUAAUAACAAUGUCGUUGGACAGAUCUAACCAUUAAUGUCCCUUAAACGCUCAAAGACAGAUUCAAUGGCUGUAGCAUAGUAUUCGACUGAAUGAUUAGCUAGUAAAUGAGAAAUUAUGAAUAAUAAGCAUAAUUACACUUUCCAUCCUUACCUUGUCAGACCACUGUCUGUGCUGAUCGCCUGUCAGCGAGACAACGCUAGCUAGCCAAUGGGAGCGUAGUAGAACAAAAGAUGAGUUGACUAUGGCAAUUGAUACAGUAUCUGCACGGUUUGAUUAUUUAUUACUUACAUGAUUCUUACCUUGAUGUUUAAUUCCAUGCUGAAAUUUGUCUGAUUUGCAUACUAGUAACAGGAUUGAUAGUGAAAUGUCAAUAUUGAUUGUUGAAAUGCUUACCUGAUCCUUGUGGAUAUUUCAUUCUUAAUAAAAAAAUAAAAAUCUACAUCACAAUUGGUUUAAAUCUUCUUAGUACGCAUUCACCAUCACAUGUAAUUGAAAUUAUAUUGAGAAAUUCAUUUUCAUUAAUGUUAUUGAAAUUGUGAAAUUAUUCCAAUGUCUUAAGUACUGUUUUAUGAAAUUGAGCACAUUGAUAGAUAUUAAGUCAACUUUGAAUAAGACUAAUUUAAACUGUACAGCCUACCUGUGCUGUGGACAUCUGAAAGAUAAUGCUGUUAGGCUUAAAUAAUACAUGCAUGUCUAUUCAUUUGCAGUAAGUUGUAAAAAAUUUUUAGCUGUCACUCAAUUUACCAUAGGAUGUAAAAUAUGACCAAACUACAUUUGUAACUAGUACUUAUUCAUUUUCUGACUGGAUACUUUUUUACUCGAGUAGUUUCCAGUGAUGUAAAGUACUUACAUAGUACUUCAAUAAAAACUUUAAAGUACUAUUUA